UUUCUAUAGUUGUGAUUCUCUCAUUCAUAGGUCAAAAGGCCACACUGGCAAAGUAACAACACAGAAUUUUAUUACAGCUGCUAGAUAUGAAGACUCAGCAUAUGAUAUCGGUGACGUUAAUACCUUCCCAGGGAGAAGCGCUGUUCCUUCUGGCUGGGAAGUGCGAGCCGGUGGGGGGAGAGAGAGGAGUAGAGCAUUAUGUGGAGGUACUUCCCGGUUCCCUUGCGUCUGAGGGUCUUAUGCCAGAGGGGAUAGAAAGCCCAACAGAAACUCAAGAUAGAAGAAGGAGAAUCUGCGAGUGUCUGUCUCCUGUCAAGCUUCCCUAAUACAGCCCUGGUAGAACUUCAUCAACAGUGGAAGGCAUUUGCAAAGGUGAGCCCAAACCAGCACCCCUUUCCACACAGGCUGUCCAUGUAGAAGGCCCAGAUGCUUCUCAGGGUCUCUGAGAGGAUACAAAGCUACUGAGGGGGCCAGAGGGCACAGCACCUGGGAUUUGGAUGAGAAGCUGCAGGAAGGGAACUUUGCACCCCAAGGGCAUGGUGUGGAGUCAAUAGUGGCAAGUUCAGUCUGGUUUUUUACAUCAGCCGGUUCAGAGGAAGAGUGAAAUCCCCAAGAUCAGCAGGGCAAAAUGCUGGAAGUUGUCGAGGAUGCAGAGAGUAGCAGGAAGACACCUCUGAGAACUCACUCACACACCCUGCCCCUGUGUAGAGAUGUCAUCCUGGGGAUGAGAAGGAGGAAGACAGAGAAACGCAGAAAAGCCUAAGCAGGCACCACAAAGAGACCGAGCCCGUCUGAAAGAGGCUGCUCUAACCUGGUGGAAACUAUUUUAAGUUGCCACCAGACAUUACAUUCCAGAGCCUUGAGAAAAACUGAUGAAAAAAAAGUCAUGAAAAAAAGUCAUUCGCACAAGUGACACCAUGGUGUGAAGUCAAGGAGCACAGACUCUGGAGUCAGAGGGCUUGAGUCAACCUGAGCAUCUUCAGCUUUGACUGUGAAGACACAGCUUUGACUCUCUGUGUUGCAGAGAUGGUAGUGCCCACUCCAGUGACGCUUGUGAGGAUUAGUUGAGAUAAUAAAUACAAAAUGCUGAGCAUCAAACCUAGAGUAGAGAAAGGUCUCAAGUAAGUACUCAUUACCAGUAUUUGUUAUUUAAUUUCACUUUUGUCUACAUUCCCUUGUGUGAAAUGGUUUGGAUAAUUAAUUAAGGAAAACUUUCCCUCAGGGACAUUGCUGAUAUUGCAAUCUUCACUAGAUACACUUAUCUCUACCUCCGCCUCCACCUCCACCUUCACCUCCAUCUCUUCUCUGUCUCUAUCUCUAUCUUCCUGUUGUUUAUCUAUCUAAUUAUUUAUAAAUGAACUGGUGGGUUUGUUGUUGUUGCAGCCUGGCUAAUGUUAUCCAGACAUAUCUGAAACCUCAUGAGUGGCAUGGAAUGGCAGUCCCUGCUUGAACCAUUUACCUCCUUUCCUAACACCAACAAUCACACACACCUGACACUGACCUGAAGCCUCUGGCCUGUCCUCGGAGGCAAAGACUGGGUAGACAAGAUGCCUGGUUACCAGCAAUCUUCUGCAAUUUCCUCUGAGCUAUUGAGAUUGCUUUUCUCUUUGCUCAAAUUAUGUGAGAAACUUUUAAAAAAGAAUUUAAUGUGCUCUUUUGAUAUUUCAGGUGUUCAUUCAAAAGCCUAUGUUAUUCUCUGUCUCUCUGUCUCUUUUCCUAGUUGGGUAAUCAAAAUGGCACAAUCAGAAAUAUUUAUAUCUGCAACAGAAAAGAAGAAUAAAUUUAUUCAUGCACAAGUACAUUAUGUACAUAUAUAUGUUUGUGUAUACAUAUAUCUGUAUAAUUGAUAUAUUUGGGAGAAAUAAAAGGUUUCAUUAAGCACACAAGUUCUAGAGUUAGACCCUCUGUCGCAAAUUACUGUCCUGUCACUUAACUCCUGCCAGAACAAAGUGCAUACUUGAACAAAAUGCCUGCUCUGUAAAAAUGCCUUGAUCUUGAAUAAAAUGCCUGCUAGGUCAAAGCUUCUAUUUUCCCACCUAGAAAAUGGGAACAAUAAUAAGAAUCCUCACUUAAUAGAUAAUGGAAAAAGUUGCUUGCAGCACAGAGCCUGCUACAGACAAUGCCUUCAAUUAAUGCAAACUAUUAAUAUUAUGAAAAGUGAGUAUCUGUUUUCUGACAAUGUUUUCAAUAAUAUAAAUUCUGCCUUUGUUCACUUUAUUUGUUUGAAAAAACAAAUAAA
RNAcentral lists this long non-coding RNA (2239 nucleotides) under Homo sapiens (human). RNAcentral describes it as "HSALNT0121386". The record is from RNAcentral. Lineage: Eukaryota; Metazoa; Chordata; Mammalia; Primates; Hominidae.